Molecule: ribosomal RNA, 301 nt
Filed under: uncultured bacterium
Lineage: Bacteria
Description: partial 16S ribosomal RNA
Rfam family: Bacterial small subunit ribosomal RNA
Source: RNAcentral
CAGUAGCCGCGGGAACACGAAGGGUGCAAGCGUUACUCGGAAUUACUGGGCGUAAAGCGUGCGUAGGUGGUGGUUUAAGUCCGUUGUGAAAGCCCUGGGCUCAACCUGGGAAUUGCAGUGGAUACUGGGUCACUAGAGUGUGGUAGAGGAUAGUGGAAUUUCCGGUGUAGCAGUGAAGUGCGUAGAGAUCGGAAGGAACAUCUGUGGCGAAGGCGACUAUCUGGGCCAACACUGACACUGAGGCACGAAAGCGUGGGGAGCAAACAGGAUUAGAUACCCCGGUAGUCCCUGUCUCUUAUAC